GAUUAAGUUAUUAAGGGCGCACGGUGGAUGCCUUGGCACUAGAAGCCGAUGAAGGACGUUACUAACGACGAUAUGCUUUGGGGAGCUGUAAGUAAGCUUUGAUCCAGAGAUUUCCGAAUGGGGAAACCCAGCAUGAGUUAUGUCAUGUUAUCGAUAUGUGAAUACAUAGCAUAUCAGAAGGCACACCCGGAGAACUGAAACAUCUUAGUACCCGGAGGAAGAGAAAGAAAAUUCGAUUCCCUUAGUAGCGGCGAGCGAAACGGGAAGAGCCCAAACCAACAAGCUUGCUUGUUGGGGUUGUAGGACACUCUAUACGGAGUUACAAAGGACGACAUUAGACGAAUCAUCUGGAAAGAUGAAUCAAAGAAGGUAAUAAUCCUGUAGUCGAAAAUGUUGUCUCUCUUGAGUGGAUCCUGAGUACGACGGAGCACGUGAAAUUCCGUCGGAAUCUGGGAGGACCAUCUCCUAAGGCUAAAUACUCUCUAGUGACCGAUAGUGAACCAGUACCGUGAGGGAAAGGUGAAAAGCACCCCGGAAGGGGAGUGAAAUAGAACCUGAAACCGUGUGCUUACAAGUAGUCAGAGCCCGUUAAUGGGUGAUGGCGUGCCUUUUGUAGAAUGAACCGGCGAGUUACGAUUUGAUGCAAGGUUAAGCAGUAAAUGUGGAGCCGUAGCGAAAGCGAGUCUGAAUAGGGCGUUUAGUAUUUGGUCGUAGACCCGAAACCAGGUGAUCUACCCUUGGUCAGGUUGAAGUUCAGGUAACACUGAAUGGAGGACCGAACCGACUUACGUUGAAAAGUGAGCGGAUGAACUGAGGGUAGCGGAGAAAUUCCAAUCGAACCUGGAGAUAGCUGGUUCUCUCCGAAAUAGCUUUAGGGCUAGCCUCAAGUGAUGAUUAUUGGAGGUAGAGCACUGUUUGGACGAGGGGCCCCUCUCGGGUUACCGAAUUCAGACAAACUCCGAAUGCCAAUUAAUUUAACUUGGGAGUCAGAACAUGGGUGAUAAGGUCCGUGUUCGAAAGGGAAACAGCCCAGACCACCAGCUAAGGUCCCAAAAUAUAUGUUAAGUGGAAAAGGAUGUGGCGUUGCCCAGACAACUAGGAUGUUGGCUUAGAAGCAGCCAUCAUUUAAAGAGUGCGUAAUAGCUCACUAGUCGAGUGACACUGCGCCGAAAAUGUACCGGGGCUAAACAUAUUACCGAAGCUGUGGAUUGUCCUUUGGACAAUGGUAGGAGAGCGUUCUAAGGGCGUUGAAGCAUGAUCGUAAGGACAUGUGGAGCGCUUAGAAGUGAGAAUGCCGGUGUGAGUAGCGAA
Molecule: ribosomal RNA, 1311 nt
Filed under: Staphylococcus aureus
Lineage: Bacteria; Bacillati; Bacillota; Bacilli; Caryophanales; Staphylococcaceae
Description: partial 23S ribosomal RNA
Rfam family: Bacterial large subunit ribosomal RNA
Source: RNAcentral